This 500-nucleotide ribosomal RNA is filed under the name uncultured bacterium. Its description in RNAcentral is "partial 16S ribosomal RNA". It matches the Rfam family "Bacterial small subunit ribosomal RNA", at positions 30 to 523 of the family's 1533-position model. The record is from RNAcentral.
AUUGAACGCUGGCGGCAUGCCUUACACAUGCAAGUCGAACGGCAGCACGGGUGCUUGCACCUGGUGGCGAGUGGCGAACGGGUGAGUAAUACAUCGGAACGUACCUUAUCGUGGGGGAUAACGCAGCGAAAGUUGCGCUAAUACCGCAUACGCCCUGAGGGGGAAAGCGGGGGACCGUAAGGCCUCGCGCGAUUAGAGCGGCCGAUGUCUGAUUCGCUUGUUGGUGAGGUAAAAGCUCACCAAGGCGAUGAUCAGUAGCUGGUCUGAGAGGACGAUCAGCCACACUGGGACUGAGACACGGCCCAGACUCCUACGGGAGGCAGCAGUGGGGAAUUUUGGACAAUGGGGGCAACCCUGAUCCAGCAAUGCCGCGUGAGUGAAGAAGGCCUUCGGGUUGUAAGCUCUUUUGUCAGGGAAGAAACAGCAGCUCUAACACAGUCUGCGAAUGACGGUACCUGAAGAAUAAGCACCGGCUAACUACGUGCCAGCAGCCGCGGUAA